GGGGUGCGUGAUAGACUUACCUCCACGUGGUGCACCCCGGCAACGUAUGCUCAUACGGCAAAAAAGUCUAU
RNAcentral lists this ribozyme (71 nucleotides) under Rodentolepis nana. RNAcentral's name for it is "Hymenolepis nana HDV ribozyme from F. prausnitzii". It matches the Rfam family "HDV ribozyme from F. prausnitzii". Lineage: Eukaryota; Metazoa; Platyhelminthes; Cestoda; Cyclophyllidea; Hymenolepididae. The record is from Rfam by way of RNAcentral.